RNAcentral lists this ribosomal RNA (253 nucleotides) under uncultured bacterium. RNAcentral describes it as "partial 16S ribosomal RNA". It matches the Rfam family "Bacterial small subunit ribosomal RNA", at positions 524 to 776 of the family's 1533-position model. The record is from RNAcentral.
UACAGAGGGUGCAAACGUUGUUCGGAAUUACUGGGCGUAAAGCGCGUGUAGGCGGCUUCGCAAGUCGGAUGUGAAAUCCCGCGGCUCAACCGUGGAAGUGCAUUCGAUACUGCGUCGCUAGAGUCCUGGAGAGGAAGGUGGAAUACUCGGUGUAGAGGUGAAAUUCGUAGAUAUCAAGUGGAACACCGGUGGCGAAGGCGGCCUUCUGGACGGUGACUGACGCUGAGACGCGAAAGCAAGGGGAUCAAACAGG